RNAcentral lists this ribosomal RNA (671 nucleotides) under Saitozyma podzolica. Its description in RNAcentral is "eukaryotic LSU rRNA". The stretch from base 379 to 671 matches the Rfam family "Eukaryotic large subunit ribosomal RNA", at positions 1 to 288 of the family's 3401-position model. Lineage: Eukaryota; Fungi; Basidiomycota; Tremellomycetes; Tremellales; Trimorphomycetaceae. The record is from RNAcentral.
UUCGGGGCUAUUUUACAAACAUGGUGUAAUGAACGUCAUAUAUCAUAACAAAACAAAACUUUCAACAACGGAUCUCUUGGCUCUCGCAUCGAUGAAGAACGCAGCGAAAUGCGAUAAGUAAUGUGAAUUGCAGAAUUCAGUGAAUCAUCGAAUCUUUGAACGCACCUUGCGCCCUCUGGUAUUCCGGAGGGCAUGCCUGUUUGAGUGUCAUGUAGACUCAAUCCCUCGGGUUUCCGAGGAGAUUGGACUUGGGUGUUGCCGCUUCUGCCGGCUCACCUUAAAAGACUUAGCGGGGAUAGCACCAUAGUCGGCGUAAUAAGUUUCGUCGGUGAAGGUUGUGAUGACUGCUUACAAUCGCCCUCGGGCAAUUUUUGACUCUGACCUCAAAUCAGGUAGGACUACCCGCUGAACUUAAGCAUAUCAAUAAGCGGAGGAAAAGAAACUAACAAGGAUUCCCUUAGUAGCGGCGAGCGAAGCGGGAAGAGCUCAAAUUUGAAAGCUGGCGUCCUUCGGGCGUCCGCAUUGUAAUCUAUAGAGGCGUUUUCUGUGCUGGACCGUGUCCAAGUCCCUUGGAACAGGGUAUCAAAGAGGGUGACAAUCCCGUACUUGACACGACAACCAGUGCUCUGUGAUACGUCUUCUACGAGUCGAGUUGUUUGGGAAUGCAGCUC